CGGGCAUGCCGGCAGCUUACACAUGCAAGUCGAGCGGUAACAGGGGAAGCUUGCUUCCCGCUGACGAGCGGCGGACGGGUGAGUAAUGCUUAGGAAUCUGCCCAGUAGUGGGGGAUAGCCCGGGGAAACCCGGAUUAAUACCGCAUACGUCCUACGGGAGAAAGCAGGGGAUCUUCGGACCUUGCGCUAUUGGAUGAGCCUAAGUCGGAUUAGCUAGUUGGUGGGGUAAGGGCCUACCAAGGCGACGAUCCGUAGCUGGUCUGAGAGGAUGAUCAGCCACAUCGGGACUGAGACACGGCCCGAACUCCUACGGGAGGCAGCAGUGGGGAAUAUUGGACAAUGGGGGCAACCCUGAUCCAGCCAUGCCGCGUGUGUGAAGAAGGCUUUCGGGUUGUAAAGCACUUUCAGUAGGGAGGAAAACCUUAUGGCUAAUACCCAUGAGGCUUGACGUUACCUACAGAAGAAGCACCGGCUAACUCCGUGCCAGCAGCCGCGGUAAU
This 500-nucleotide ribosomal RNA is filed under the name Marinobacter nauticus. RNAcentral's name for it is "bacterial SSU rRNA". It matches the Rfam family "Bacterial small subunit ribosomal RNA", at positions 37 to 524 of the family's 1533-position model. Lineage: Bacteria; Pseudomonadati; Pseudomonadota; Gammaproteobacteria; Pseudomonadales; Marinobacteraceae. The record is from RNAcentral.